UAGCUAUUAUAGGUCUUAUGUAAGUGGAACAAUCUGUCACUACAGUCAUCGCGCACCGAUUUGAAUUCAUUAAGAAAGCUUAUAUUUAAAAAAAACUGCAUUAAAAGUUAGUUGCACAAAAUUUAAAAAACAUCACCCGAAAAAUGUUCUAUUCUGUAUUUCACAUAAAACAAUGAGAAUGAGAUUACGAAAUAAACUGUAAUCACCAAUUACUGAGCAUAGGUAUGAUUAUCAUAUGAUUGUCGUGUAUUGUAUUUUGACAGAAUUUAAUAAUCUCGGAGGCUUCGAUACAGAUUGAAAAGAGAGACUAUGAGUGUUUAUAGAUAGAGAAAGAUCCAAGAGUGACGGCAUACCUUACUACUGAGCAGAUACUCGAUGAAUUAAUAAUGUUAUGAGAAGUUCAUAGCAACAUUUGUUAUUCAUCCUAUACUUUGUAGCCCUGACCCAAAACACUGUUGCUAGGCGGUGCUGACUGUUACAUUCCGGUCGCCUCACCCUUACUUGACCUACCAUCCGGAUGGAGUCCAAUGACGAAGAAACGAUAUUUUGGAAAUAUAUUUUGAUUCGGAUAGGAACUCUGAUAAUGGAAAAAUAAAGCCCCAGAAAGAAAAUUUUUCAACUAGGAGUGACUAUCAAUCUUCAAGCAAUUAGGAUUUCUCGUGUGUUUUUGGCACUUAAGCUACGCUGUAAAUCAAAAGUAUAUAUUUUAAAAGUUUAAAAAGGUGAAUGAAUUUACAUUCUGUCCUUGAUGACAAAUCAGCAACGGUUAAAUAAACCAGCUGCGAAAAUAGAAAGUUUCCCGUACUGGUCAUUGGCCGAUAUCCGUUCUAUAUUAGAACGCAUGAAUGUUUCUCCUCAAGACACACGUGUAAGGUGGAUAAACCCUCCUAAGAUCACCAAUUGAACUAAUUGUCAGACUCUUUUUCCAAUAAA
This 933-nucleotide long non-coding RNA is filed under the name Centruroides sculpturatus (bark scorpion). Its description in RNAcentral is "uncharacterized LOC111624579, transcript variant X1". The record is from RNAcentral. Lineage: Eukaryota; Metazoa; Arthropoda; Arachnida; Scorpiones; Buthidae.